AAAAUAAUGGAAGAGGCCCUUGGACCUGACAACAGGCAUACGAUUAAGGCAUUGCCAUCUACUUCAUGGCAUCUAACCACUGGUUUUU
Molecule: small nuclear RNA, 88 nt
Organism: Fukomys damarensis (Damara mole-rat)
Lineage: Eukaryota; Metazoa; Chordata; Mammalia; Rodentia; Bathyergidae
Source: Ensembl